UGGUUUUCCUUUGUGCCUGUACCUUUCUCCCUAAUGCCUGAGUACCUGCUGGGGGGUGGGCUGGAGAGCAGGGAACGUGGCUAUCUCCUGGGAUCUAUCCUUCAGGUCAUUCCCUCCAGGAUGUGGGCAUUCACAUGCAGGAUGGGUUGGGCUGCCUUGAGAAUUAAUUGCCACUAGCCCACAGCUGUGCUGGGAGUGGAGCAGGAGAGCCUGGCAGUGGGGCAGAGCUGGCAAGCCUGUGGGGACUCCUUCCAAGAACGCAGGGACCAUGAGGACUAGAGAAGCUCCACCUCUGGCCUAGAGAGAAAUGUCCUAACCCCAGCCUUCCAAGAACUGCCCAAGGAUUUCCCCGGACCUUCCAUUCGUAUUGUGGGGAGCAGCUGCAGACAACUCUCAUCACCCUCCUGCAGGAAGCCAGAAGAACUUUCAAGCAUCACUCAUAGAGAACGGGGUGCCUCUGGGAAGAGGAGACGAGGUACUCGUCCCUGGUUGAAAGUCACUCAUCUUCCUUCAGUGCCUGUUUAGGUGGAGGAAAGGAGAAACAGAAAGAGGUGCCAGAAAGGAUAGCCCAGCAGGGAAACUUCUUCAACUCCCUCCAAAGGGUUUAUAGCAAGUCACGUAGACACCGAGGAGGAGCGUGGCAAUUUUCCAGCAACUUAGAUAUCAGCAACUCAUCU
Long non-coding RNA from Galeopterus variegatus (Sunda flying lemur), 677 nucleotides. RefSeq lists it as uncharacterized. Lineage: Eukaryota; Metazoa; Chordata; Mammalia; Dermoptera; Cynocephalidae. The record is from RefSeq and is a predicted model, not a curated record. The transcript has 3 exons.